Molecule: long non-coding RNA, 1048 nt
Filed under: Dromaius novaehollandiae (emu)
Lineage: Eukaryota; Metazoa; Chordata; Aves; Casuariiformes; Dromaiidae
Description: lncRNA (ENSDNVG00000003005.1)
Source: RNAcentral
CAAGAUGAAAAGAGUUAGACUGCUUUUCACACGGUCAUGGGUGUUGUUCGAAUUGGGCUGUUACAAGUAUUUCCCUGUAAAAUGAAAAUGAUGUGUUGCAUUUGUUUUCUCUUUUGUCCCAGAUUUGAUCAGGCGUGCUGGUGUUCUUUGCAAAUGUGUCGUGAGUCACAAGGAACCCUGGGCUGACAGAGCACGGAAAAGAGUUCUUUAGAAAUUACCGAAUCUGUUUUGGAAAAAUGGAUUUUAUAGAUUAUAUAAAAUGUGUAAUAAAAAUUAAUAUUCCAGUAGUUUUUGAAGGGAAGUGUCUCUGAAUCUUUGCCCCAGAAAGAAAAAACACUUCUGCAAAGCUGCAUCACUGCAGAACGUAACAUGGAACAGAUCAGCGUACAGAGGCAGCAUACCUGUAAAAGUGAUAUCUUGGUUGCAAUGCUCUUUGUCACUCAAGGUCUUUUCAUUGUCUAAAGUCUGCCAAGAUGGUGGGGCUGAGAGAAGAACUGAAGAUGUAUUUGAUCAGAAAAAUUCUGAACAUUUCAGAGCUUACAAAGCAAAUGCAAUGAUUUUCUUGGCUCCAUCCUCCAAACUGUUUCCCAUGGGAAAACUUCAGCACCCUCAACUAACUGCAGGAGCAGUAAGUGUAUGUACAUGCACAAAACCUUUACCUGUGAGCAACUUAGCAGAAUGCACUCUUCACCUGAAUGCAGGGCUCAGUACAGCUUUGCAAAGCAGAGCAGUGCAGAACAGGGGGAGAGGACAUGAAACAUUUUUAUUUGUGCACAUCUAACUGAGACUUUUAUUUAUUUUUGUAUGUAUGCCAGGAACAGGAGAAGGAAGCCUGUUCUUACAUGCUAUGUACAGUUUUCUUCUGCAAUAUUACUUCUAUAUGCAGCUGCUAUACAAGAAAAUUUGCCAAAGAACAGCGUUAAAGCUUUUCCAAAUCUUCUUUUCAAAUGUAUGUAAAAUCUACAUUGCUAUACACAUCGGUUUAUAAUACCACUGUGUACACUGGUGACUGAAUAAAAUACUGUUUUCUUGGUGGUGAUAGUGUAUA